AGGUGACCUCGGAUCAGGUAGGAACCCGUAA
This 31-nucleotide ribosomal RNA is filed under the name Ascomycota sp. MA5340. RNAcentral describes it as "partial 28S ribosomal RNA". The record is from RNAcentral. Lineage: Eukaryota; Fungi; Ascomycota.